UCUGGCCCGGGCGGUGCGAGGCACUGUGAGGCGCGCGUGGGCUUUCUGGAGUCCGGGGAUGGAGUUUUUGGGCAAAAAAGGGUCGCUUAGCACGAUAUUUACUAUGAAAAAUCAUAAAUAGACUGGAAGAUAUUUCAGAGAUAACUAGUUUCCCAUCCACCAAAGUAGUCCUGAUGGUCUUGGAGAUGCAGCUUCCUUCAGGGAAGGUGUAAGGACCCGAGUGGAUCGGAUUCGCCCCAGGAGAGGGCAGCAGUGCGCUUGCACAAAAUCGCCGUGUCUUGCCUCUGUAGGGUCUUUCUUUUGUACCAAGUAUCGAAUUCCCAUUAAAUCAAUUUAAAAAGCUGAAGUACA
Long non-coding RNA from Empidonax traillii (willow flycatcher), 351 nucleotides. RefSeq lists it as uncharacterized. The record is from RefSeq and is a predicted model, not a curated record. NCBI's taxonomy places the organism in Eukaryota, Metazoa, Chordata, Aves, Passeriformes, Tyrannidae. The transcript has 3 exons.